AUUGAACGCUGGCGGCAUGCUUUACACAUGCAAGUCGAACGGUAACAGGCCUUCGGGUGCUGACGAGUGGCGAACGGGUGAGUAAUGCAUCGGAACGUGCCCAAUCGUGGGGGAUAACGUAGCGAAAGUUACGCUAAUACCGCAUAAGCCCUGAGGGGGAAAGUGGGGGACCGCAAGGCCUCACGCGAAUGGAGCGGCCGAUGUCAGAUUAGCUAGUUGGUGGGGUAAAGGCCCACCAAGGCGACGAUCUGUAGCGGGUCUGAGAGGAUGAUCCGCCACACUGGGACUGAGACACGGCCCAGACUCCUACGGGAGGCAGCAGUGGGGAAUUUUGGACAAUGGGCGCAAGCCUGAUCCAGCCAUGCCGCGUGCGGGACGAAGGCCUCGGUU
Molecule: ribosomal RNA, 390 nt
Filed under: uncultured bacterium
Lineage: Bacteria
Description: bacterial SSU rRNA
Rfam family: Bacterial small subunit ribosomal RNA
Source: RNAcentral